CCAAUAGCGUAUAUUAAAGUUGUUGCAGUUAAAAAGCUCGUAGUUGAACUUCGGGGUCUACCCAUUGGUCAGGCUUAAUUGUCUGUACUGGUGAGAUGGAUCUCUACCUUCUGAGGAACUUUCAUGCCAUUUAUUUGGUGUGAUGGGAAAUCAGGACUAUUACUUUGAAAAAAUUAGAGUGUUUAAAGCAGGCUAACGUCUGAAUACAUUAGCAUGGAAUAAUGAAAUAGGACGGACUGAUUCUAUUUCGUUGGUUUCUAGGAUCACCGUAAUGAUUAAUAGGGAUAGUUGGGGGCAUUAGUAUUCAAUUGUCAGAGGUGAAAUUCUUGGAUUUAUUGAAGACUAACUACUGCGAAAGCAUUUGCCAGGGAUGUUUUCAUUAAUCAAGAACGAAAGUUAGGGGAUCGAAGACGAUCAGAUACCGUCGUAGUCUUAACCAUAAACUAUGCCGACUAGGGAUCGGACGAAGUUAAUUUUUUAAUGACGCGUUCGGCACCUUACG
Molecule: ribosomal RNA, 502 nt
Filed under: uncultured Glomeromycotina
Lineage: Eukaryota; Fungi; Glomeromycota
Description: partial small subunit ribosomal RNA
Rfam family: Eukaryotic small subunit ribosomal RNA
Source: RNAcentral